GAUGAAGACAGGCCUUAGGCUGAAAGUUCUUUCGUUGGGAGGAAGGCUCUCAUGCUAUAUCAUCACCGAUCGACGUACCCGACAGAAGAAGCCCCGGCUAAUUCCCGUGCCCAGCAGCCGCGUAAUACGGAGGGGGCCACGCGUUUAUCGCAAUUACCCGCGCGUAAACCGCACGCCGCGCGGUUGAUUAAAGUUAGAUGUGAAAUCCCCGGGCUUAACCUGGGAAUGGCAUCUAAGACUGGUCAGCUAGAGUCUUGUAGAGGGGGGGUAGAAUUCCAUGUGUAGCGGUGAAAAUGCGUAGAGAUGUGGAGGAAUACCGGUGGCGAAGGCGGCCCCUGGACAAAGACUGACGCUCAGGUGCGAAAGCGUGGGGAGCAAACAGGAUUAGAUACCCUGGUAGUCCACGCUGUAAACGAUGUCGAUUUGGAGGUUGUGCCCUUGAGGCGUGGCUUCCCGGAGCUAACGCGUUAAAUCGACCGCCUGGGGAGUACGGCCGCAAGGUUAAAACUCAAAUGAAUUGACGGGGGCCCGCACAAGCGGUGGAGCAUGUGGUUUAAUUCGAUGCAACGCGAAGAACCUUACCUACUCUUGACAUCCAGAGAACUUAGCAGAGAUGCUUUGGUGCCUUCGGGAACUCUGAGACAGGUGCUGCAUGGCUGUCGUCAGCUCGUGUUGUGAAAUGUUGGGUUAAGUCCCGCAACGAGCGCAACCCUUAUCCUUUGUUGCCAGCGAUUCGGUCGGGAACUCAAAGGAGACCGCCGGUGAUAAACCGGAGGAAGGUGGGGAUGACGUCAAGUCAUCAUGGCCCCUACCAGUAGGGCUACACACGUGCUACAAUGGCGUAUACAAAGAGAAGCGACCUCGCGAGAGCAAGCGGAACUCAUAAAGUACGUCGUAGUCCGGAUUGGAGUCUGCAACUCGACUCCAAUGAAGUCGGAAUCUGCUUUGUUUAUCGUUAUAUCCCGCAUUGGCGUCACCAGUGAUGCCAAU
RNAcentral lists this ribosomal RNA (990 nucleotides) under Pseudobutyrivibrio sp. 12. Its description in RNAcentral is "bacterial SSU rRNA". It matches the Rfam family "Bacterial small subunit ribosomal RNA", at positions 404 to 1367 of the family's 1533-position model. The record is from RNAcentral. Lineage: Bacteria; Bacillati; Bacillota; Clostridia; Lachnospirales; Lachnospiraceae.